This 714-nucleotide long non-coding RNA is filed under the name Elaeis guineensis (African oil palm). Its description in RNAcentral is "long non-coding RNA (EGUI_LNC014555)". The record is from RNAcentral. Lineage: Eukaryota; Viridiplantae; Streptophyta; Magnoliopsida; Arecales; Arecaceae.
CCCGUUCAACUACGAAAUUCUUGGGCAGAACGCGCUCACCGAUUGGUUUCGUUAUUAAAUCCCUGUUGUUGAAGGAAUUCUCCCUCGAGCCCCCUUCGAGGUGGUGGGAACCCUUAGUGACAGUUCGGCAGCCGCUGAACUCGCGGGCCACUGUCUUUCCCCUCCUACUCCUCUCGAUCCGUGACAUCCUCUCAAGAUUGGCCUCUGGGGCAGAAGCCCCGACGGGAGAACUCCUCGAAAGGGCUCGAAAGACUGAAGGCGGCGGGGAGCCGACAGUGGAGAUGGCGACGAUCGGUGCAAAGAAUGCUCAGAGUCGAAAAGGACACCGAUGGGGUGGCUAAACUCUCAGGCAGAAGAAAGACGUCGACUCUCAGGCGAAAUGAAGUCCCUGGAGGGAACGAGGGAGCUUAAAUAAGCAACGGGGCCUGGCACAGUUAUGGUGGCGGAUAUCCCCAGGUCAACCAGUGCCCGCUACGCAUCCCACUCACCGUGGCGUAGAGCUGACUGCUGGCGGGACUAUUAUGGUGUGGCGCCUAGGACUACGCUCCGGUGGGAAUUUCGAAAGGACUCUUCGGAUCGCCCUAAUUGGAAAAAGACUCCAGCACGCGCGCAUUGAAUGCCAGGAUUUUCGAGGACGGACGUGCGCAGGAUUCGAGGGGGCAACUUCGGCUGUGAAAAUUUCUCUGUAUUUUCUUCAUUCAAAACUCGAACUCG